ACGUAGGGGGCGAGCGUUGUCCGGAAUGACUGGGCGUAAAGGGCGCGCAGGCGGGUUUUUAAGUCUGGAGUGAAAGUUUUGCGCUCAACCCGGGAAUGGAUUUGGAAACUGAUAGUCUUGAGUGCAGGAGAGGAAAGUGGAAUUCCUAGUGUAGCGGUGAAAUGCGUAGAUAUUAGGAGGAACACCAGUGGCGAAGGCGACUUUCUGGACUGUAUCUGACACUGAGGCGCGAAAGCCAGGGUAGUGAACGG
Molecule: ribosomal RNA, 251 nt
Filed under: uncultured prokaryote
Description: partial 16S rRNA
Rfam family: Bacterial small subunit ribosomal RNA
Source: RNAcentral